UCUCUUAGGAUAUGCUACAUGAUGUUGCC
This 29-nucleotide non-coding RNA is filed under the name Mus musculus (house mouse). The record is from RNAcentral. Lineage: Eukaryota; Metazoa; Chordata; Mammalia; Rodentia; Muridae.